GGGGGUAUAGCUCAGUGGUAGAGCGCGUGCUUAGCAUGCACGAGGCCCUGGGUUCGAUCCCCAGUACCUCCA
Molecule: non-coding RNA, 72 nt
Organism: Dipodomys ordii (Ord's kangaroo rat)
Lineage: Eukaryota; Metazoa; Chordata; Mammalia; Rodentia; Heteromyidae
Source: Rfam